AAUCAACGCUGGCGGCGUGCCUAACACAUGCAAGUCGAACGCGAAAGUUCCUUCGGGGAUGAGUAGAGUGGCGUCCGGGUGAGUAACGCGUGGGUAAUCUACCCUUGGGUGGGAAUAACCAGUCGAAAGGCUGGCUAAUACCGCAUAAUGCAGCGGCUCGACAUCGAGACAGUUGUUAAAGCGCAAUCGCAAGGUUGCGCGCCUAAGGAGGAGCCUGCGUCUGAUUAGCUUGUUGGUGAGGUAAUGGCUCACCAAGGCUGCGAUCAGUAGCUGGUCUGAGAGGACGGCCAGCCACAAUGGCACUGAAACACGGGCCAUACUCCUACGGGAGGCAGCAGUGGGGAAUUUUGCGCAAAUGGGCGAAAAGCCUGAACGCAGCAAACGCCGCGUGAAGGAUGAAAUCCUUCGGGAUGUAAACUUCGCAAAUAU
Molecule: ribosomal RNA, 429 nt
Filed under: uncultured bacterium
Lineage: Bacteria
Description: bacterial SSU rRNA
Rfam family: Bacterial small subunit ribosomal RNA
Source: RNAcentral